Molecule: long non-coding RNA, 6563 nt
Filed under: Brassica rapa (field mustard)
Lineage: Eukaryota; Viridiplantae; Streptophyta; Magnoliopsida; Brassicales; Brassicaceae
Source: RNAcentral
CGUUUUGACCCUCAAACGGGCUGCGGAAAGCUAUGGCACGUAAAAAAGAUCGAAAGCGGAUUCUCAAGGUGUUUUUGAUGCUUUCUUAACGCCGUUAACCUCGAUGCACUUUUUCGCUCGAAACAAAACGGCAAGAAAAUCAUGUGGGCCCCACGGCCUUACACUUGGAUUGGCCGGGAAAAGGAUAUAUAGAAACGAGAGUGAUGUACUGACGGGUGUGAUCAUACCAGCACUAAUGCACCGGAUCCCAUCAGAACUCCGCAGUUAAGGGUGCUUGGGCGAGAGUAGUACUAGGAUGGGUGACCUCCCGGGAAGUCCUCGUGUUGCACCCCUUUUUAUUUUUUAAUUUUUUUUUACCCUAAAAAAGAUCGAAAGCGGAUUCUCAAGGUGUUUGUGAUGCUUUCUUAACGCCGUUAACCUCGAUGCACUUUUUCGCUCGAAACAAAACGGCAAGAAAAUCAUGUGCGCCCCACGGUCUUACACUUGGAUUGGCCGCGAAAAGGUUAUAUAGAAACGAGAUUGAUGUACUGACGGGUGCGAUCAUUCCAGCACUAAUGCACUGGAUCCCAUCAGAACUCUGCAGUUAAGCGUGCUUGGGCGAGAGUAGUACUAGGAUGGGUGACCUCCCGGGAAGUCCUCGUGUUGCACCCCUUUUUAUUUUUUAAUUUUUUUUAGCCUAAAACGAGUCUAAACUUGAAAACCUCAUAACUUUUGAACCGUGAGGAACUACGUCGCCCAUAGCACCAUUUCGGAAAGCCCCAGAAACCAUAAUCGGCGGUGAAUAGGGGGCGCAAUUUUUCGGGCUCAAAUUCAGACGUUUUGACCCUCAAACGGGCUGCGGAAAGCUAUGGCACGUAAAAAAGAUCGAAAGCUGAUUCUCAAGGUGUUUUUGAUGCUUUCUUAACGUUGUUAACCUCGAUGCACUUUUUCGCUCGAAACAAAACGGCAAGAAAAUCAUGUGCGCCCCACGGUCUUACACUUGGAUUGGCCGCGAAAAGGAUAUAUAGAAACGAGAGUGAUGUACUGACGGGUGCGAUCAAACCAGCACUAAUGCACCGGAUCCCAUCAGAACUCUACAGUUAUUCGUGCUUGGGCGAGAGUAGUACUAGGAUGGGUGACCUCCCGGGAAGUCCUCGUGUUGCACCCCUUUUUAUUUUUUAAUUUUUUUUUACCCUAAAACGAGUUUAAACUUGGUAACCUCAUAACUUUUGAACGGUGAGGAACUACGUCGCCCAUAGCACCAUUUCGGAAAGCCCCAGAAACCAUAAUGGGCGGUGAAUAAGGGGCACAAUUUUUCGGGCUCGAAUUCAGCCGUUUUGACCCUCAAACGGGCUGCGGAAAGUUAUGGCACGUAAAAAAGAUCGAAAGCGGAUUCUCAAGGUGUUUUUGAUGCUUUCUUAACGCCGUUAACCUCGAUGCACUUUUUCGCUCGAAACAAAACGGCAAGAAAAUCAUGUGCGCCCCACGGUCUUACACUUGGAUUGGCAGCAAAAAGGAUAUAUAGAAACGAGAGUGAUGUACUGACGGGUGCGAUCAAACCAGCACUAAUGCACCGGAUCCCAUCAGAACUCUGCAGUUAAUCGUGCUUGGGCGAGAGUAGUACUAGGAUGGGUGACCUCCCGGAAAGUCCUCGUGUUGCACCCCUUUUUAUUUUUUAAUUUUUUUUACCCUAAAACGAGUUUAAACUUGGAAACCUCAUAACUUUUGAACCGUGAGGAACUACGUCGCCCAUAGCACCAUUUUGGAAAGCCCCAGAAACCAUAAUGGGCGGUGAGUAGGGGGCGCAAUUUUUCGGGCUCAAAUUCAGCCGUUUUGACCCUCAAACGGGCUGCGGAAAGUUAUAGCAUGCAAAAAAGAUCGAAAGCGGAUUCUCAAUGUGUUUUUAAUGCUUUCUUAACGCCGUUAACCUCGAUGCACUUUUUCGCUCGAAACACAACGGCAAGAAAAUCAUGUGGGCCCCACGGCCUUACACUUGGAUUGGCCGGGAAAAGGAUAUAUAGAAACGAGAGUGAUGUGCUAACGGGUGUGAUCAUACCGGCACUAAUGCACCGGAUCCCAUCAGAACUCCGCAGUUAAGGGUGCUUGGGCGAGAGUAGUACUAGGAUGGGUGACCUCCCGCGAAGUCCUCGUGUUGCACCCCUUUUUAUUUUUUAAUUUUUUUUUACCCUAAAAAAGAUCGAAAGCGGAUUCUCAAGGUGUUUUUGAUGCUUUCUUAACGCCGUUAACCUCGAUGCACUUUUUCGCUCGAAACAAAACGGCAAGAAAAUCAUGUGCGCCCCACGGUCUUACACUUGGAUUGGCCGCGAAAAGGAUAUAUAGAAACGAGAGUGAUGUACUGACGGGUGCGAUCAUACCAGCACUAAUGCACGGGAUCCCAUCAAAACUCCGCAGUUAAGCGUGCUUGGGCGAGAGUAGUACUAGGAUGGGUGACCUCCCGGGAAGUCCUCGUGUUGCACCCCUUUUUAUUUUUUAAUUUUUUUUAGCCUAAAACGAGUCUAAACUUGAAAACCUCAUAACUUUUGAACCGUGAGGAACUACGUCGCCCAUAGCACCAUUUCGGAAAGCCCCAGAAACCAUAAUCGGCGGUGAAUAGGGGGCGCAAUUUUUCGGGCUCAAAUUCAGACGUUUUGACACUCAAACGGGCUGCGGAAAGCUAUGGCACGUAAAAAAGAUCGAAAGCUGAUUCUCAAGGUGUUUUUGAUGCUUUCUUAACGUUGUUAACCUCGAUGCACUUUUUCGCUCGAAACAAAACGGCAAGAAAAUCAUGUGUGCCCCACGGUCUUACACUUGGAUUGGCCGCGAAAAGGAUAUAUAGAAACGAGAGUGAUGUACUGACGGGUGUGAUCAAACCAGCACUAAUGCACCGGAUCCCAUCAGAACUGUACAGCUAAUCGUGCUUGGGCGAGAGUAGUACUAGGAUGGGUGACCUCCCGGGAAGUCCUCGUGUUGCACCCCUUUUUAUUUUUUAAUAUUUUUUUUACCCUAAAACGAGUUUAAACUUGGAAACCUCAUAACUUUUGAACCGUGAGGAACUACGUCGCCCAUAGCACCAUUUCGGAAAGCCCAAGAAACCAUAAUCGGCGGUGAAUAAGGGGCACAAUUUUUCGGGCUCGAAUUCAGCCGUUUUGACCCUCAAACGGGCUGCGGAAAGUUAUGGCACGUAAAAAAGAUCGAAAGCAGAUUCUCAAGGUGUUUUUGAUGCUUUCUUAACGCCGUUAACCUCGAUGCACUUUUUCGCUCGAAACAAAACGGCAAGAAAAUCAUGUGGGCCCCACGGACUUACACUUGGAUUGGCCGGGAAAAGGAUAUAUAGAAACGAGAGUGAUGUACUGACGGGUGUGAUCAAACCAGCACUAAUGCACCGGAUCCCAUCAGAACUGUACAGCUAAUCGUGCUUGGGCGAGAGUAGUACUAGGAUGGGUGACCUCCCGGGAAGUCCUCGUGUUGCACCCCUUUUUAUUUUUUAAUAUUUUUUUUACCCUAAAACGAGUUUAAACUUGGAAACCUCAUAACUUUUGAACCGUGAGGAACUACGUCGCCCAUAGCACCAUUUCGGAAAGCCCAAGAAACCAUAAUCGGCGGAGAAUAAGGGGCACAAUUUUUCGGGCUCGAAUUCAGCCGUUUUGACCCUCAAACGGGCUGCGGAAAGUUAUGGCACGUAAAAAAGAUCGAAAGCAGAUUCUCAAGGUGUUUUUGAUGCUUUCUUAACGCCGUUAACCUCGAUGCACUUUUUCGCUCGAAACACAACGGCAAGAAAAUCAUGUGGGCCCCACGGCCUUACACUUGGAUUGGCCGGGAAAAGGAUAUAUAGAAACGAGAGUGAUGUGCUAACGGGUGUGAUCAUACCGGCACUAAUGCACCGGAUCCCAUCAGAACUCCGCAGUUAAGGGUGCUUGGGCGAGAGUAGUACUAGGAUGGGUGACCUCCCGCGAAGUCCUCGUGUUGCACCCCUUUUUAUUUUUUAAUUUUUUUUUACCCUAAAAAAGAUCGAAAGCGGAUUCUCAAGGUGUUUUUGAUGCUUUCUUAACGCCGUUAACCUCGAUGCACUUUUUCGCUCGAAACAAAACGGCAAGAAAAUCAUGUGCGCCCCACGGUCUUACACUUGGAUUGGCCGCGAAAAGGAUAUAUAGAAACGAGAGUGAUGUACUGACGGGUGCGAUCAUACCAGCACUAAUGCACGGGAUCCCAUCAAAACUCCGCAGUUAAGCGUGCUUGGGCGAGAGUAGUACUAGGAUGGGUGACCUCCCGGGAAGUCCUCGUGUUGCACCCCUUUUUAUUUUUUAAUUUUUUUAGCCUAAAACGAGUCUAAACUUGAAAACCUCAUAACUUUUGAACCGUGAGGAACUACGUCGCCCAUAGCACCAUUUCGGAAAGCCCCAGAAACCAUAAUCGGCGGUGAAUAGGGGGCGCAAUUUUUCGGGCUCAAAUUCAGACGUUUUGACACUCAAACGGGCUGCGGAAAGCUAUGGCACGUAAAAAAGAUCGAAAGCUGAUUCUCAAGGUGUUUUUGAUGCUUUCUUAACGUUGUUAACCUCGAUGCACUUUUUCGCUCGAAACAAAACGGCAAGAAAAUCAUGUGUGCCCCACGGUCUUACACUUGGAUUGGCCGCGAAAAGGAUAUAUAGAAACGAGAGUGAUGUACUGACGGGUGUGAUCAAACCAGCACUAAUGCACCGGAUCCCAUCAGAACUGUACAGCUAAUCGUGCUUGGGCGAGAGUAGUACUAGGAUGGGUGACCUCCCGGGAAGUCCUCGUGUUGCACCCCUUUUUAUUUUUUAAUAUUUUUUUACCCUAAAACGAGUUUAAACUUGGAAACCUCAUAACUUUUGAACCGUGAGGAACUACGUCGCCCAUAGCACCAUUUCGGAAAGCCCAAGAAACCAUAAUCGGCGGUGAAUAAGGGGCACAAUUUUUCGGGCUCGAAUUCAGCCGUUUUGACCCUCAAACGGGCUGCGGAAAGUUAUGGCACGUAAAAAAGAUCGAAAGCAGAUUCUCAAGGUGUUUUUGAUGCUUUCUUAACGCCGUUAACCUCGAUGCACUUUUUCGCUCGAAACAAAACGGCAAGAAAAUCAUGUGGGCCCCACGGACUUACACUUGGAUUGGCCGGGAAAAGGAUAUAUAGAAACGAGAGUGAUGUACUGACGGGUGUGAUCAAACCAGCACUAAUGCACCGGAUCCCAUCAGAACUGUACAGCUAAUCGUGCUUGGGCGAGAGUAGUACUAGGAUGGGUGACCUCCCGGGAAGUCCUCGUGUUGCACCCCUUUUUAUUUUUUAAUAUUUUUUUUACCCUAAAACGAGUUUAAACUUGGAAACCUCAUAACUUUUGAACCGUGAGGAACUACGUCGCCCAUAGCACCAUUUCGGAAAGCCCAAGAAACCAUAAUCGGCGGAGAAUAAGGGGCACAAUUUUUCGGGCUCGAAUUCAGCCGUUUUGACCCUCAAACGGGCUGCGGAAAGUUAUGGCACGUAAAAAAGAUCGAAAGCAGAUUCUCAAGGUGUUUUUGAUGCUUUCUUAACGCCGUUAACCUCGAUGCACUUUUUCGCUCGAAACAAAACGGCAAGAAAAUCAUGUGGGCCCCACGGACUUACACUUGGAUUGGCCGGGAAAAGGAUAUAUAGAAACGAGAGUGAUGUAUUGACGGGUGUGAUCAUACCAGCACUAUUGCACCGGAUCCCAUCAGAACUCUGCAGUUAAUCGUGCUUGGGCGAGAGUAGUACUAGGAUGGGUGACAUCCCGGGAAGUCCUCGUGUUGCACCCCUUUUUAUUUUUUAAUUUUUUUUUACCCUAAAACGAGUUUAAACUUGGAAACCUCAUAACUUUUGAACCGUGAGGAACUACGUCGCCCAUAGCACCAUUUUGGAAAGCCCCAGAAACCAUAAUGGGCGGUGAGUAGGGGGCGCAAUUUUUCGGGCUCAAAUUCAGCCGUUUUGACCCUCAAACGGGCUGCGGAAAGUUAUAGCAUGCAAAAAAGAUCGAAAGCGGAUUCUCAAUGUGUUUUUAAUGCUUUCUUAACGCCGUUAACCUCGAUGCACUUUUUCGCUCGAAACACAACGGCAAGAAAAUCAUGUGGGCCCCACGGCCUUACACUUGGAUUGGCCGGGAAAAGGAUAUAUAGAAACGAGAGUGAUGUACUAACGGGUGUGAUCAUACCGGCACUAAUGCACCGGAUCCCAUCAAAACUCCGCAGUUAAGGGUGCUUGGGCGAGAGUAGUACUAGGAUGGGUGACCUCCCGCGAAGUCCUCGUGUUGCACCCCUUUUUAUUUUUUAAUUUUUUUUUACCCUAAAAAAGAUCGAAAGCGGAUUCUCAAGGUGUUUUUGAUGCUUUCUUAACGCCUUUAACCUCGAUGCACUUUUUCGCUCGAAACAAAACGGCAAGAAAAUCAUGUGCGCCCCACGGUCUUACACUUGGAUUGGCCGCGAAAAGGAUAUAUAGAAACGAGAGUGAUGUACUGACGGGUGCGAUCAUACCAGCACUAAUGCACGGGAUCCCAUCAAAACUCCGCAGUUAAGCGUGCUUGGGCGAGAGUAGUACUAGGAUGGGUGACCUCCCGGGAAGUCCC